Harpegnathos saltator (Jerdon's jumping ant) is the source of this 406-nucleotide long non-coding RNA. RefSeq lists it as uncharacterized. The transcript has 2 exons. NCBI's taxonomy places the organism in Eukaryota, Metazoa, Arthropoda, Insecta, Hymenoptera, Formicidae. The record is from RefSeq and is a predicted model, not a curated record.
GAGAGAGAGAGAGAAAUUGCGGAAGUGCGAGAGAGAAGAGAAGAUGCUGAUAGUGGGUCACGUGGACCGCCGCGGUAGACCAAAAGAGAAUGACGGUAUGAGCGGAACUUUUCCGCGUUCCUCAGACUGCAGAAGUAUGAAUAUCAACAUGGUUUGCCGGUUAUCGUCUGGUGAUAUGCGUUACUGCCGUUGGCCACUCGGCAUCCUUCGACGACGCGCGAUAACGUAGCGCUCAGUACUACUUGUCGUGCGAAUUAAUCCGGGGUAACUCGUAAUUGAAGAGAAAAUCGUUACAUCGUAGCCGACAAAGAAUUCCUGAAGUAUCACAAAGUCGUUCAUUGUAUGUCACGGCGAAUAUAAAAUUUUGUACGACAGUGUGUGAUAAUAAAGUUACACCGUUCUUUAA